RNAcentral lists this ribosomal RNA (460 nucleotides) under uncultured bacterium. RNAcentral's name for it is "partial 16S ribosomal RNA". It matches the Rfam family "Bacterial small subunit ribosomal RNA", at positions 338 to 795 of the family's 1533-position model. The record is from RNAcentral.
CCUACGGGAGGCUGCAGUGAGGAAUAUUGGUCAAUGGACGAGAGUCUGAACCAGCCAAGUAGCGUGAAGGAUGACUGCCCUAUGGGUUGUAAACUUCUUUUAUAAAGGAAUACAACGAGGCACGUGUGCCUUUUUGCAUGUACUUUAUGAAUAAGGAUCGGCUAACUCCGUGCCAGCAGCCGCGGUAAUACGGAGGAUCCGAGCGUUAUCCGGAUUUAUUGGGUUUAAAGGGAGCGUAGAUGGGUUGUUAAGUCAGUUGUGAAAGUUUGCGGCUCAACCGUAAAAUUGCAAUUGAUCCUGGCAGUCUAGAGUACAGUUGAGGGAGGCGGAAUUCGUGGUGUAGCGGUGAAAUGCUUAGAUAUCACGAAGAACCCCGAUUGCGAAGGCAGCUUACUAAACUGUGACUGACAUUGAUGCUCGAAAGUGUGGGUAUCAAACAGGAUUAGAUACCCUUGUAGUC